Molecule: long non-coding RNA, 580 nt
Organism: Megalobrama amblycephala (Wuchang bream)
Lineage: Eukaryota; Metazoa; Chordata; Actinopteri; Cypriniformes; Xenocyprididae
Exons: 4
Source: RefSeq, a predicted model, not a curated record
GCCUGCUGUUGUCGAUCGAUGAUGCUCACGUGAUCCUGUCACUGAUAGUGGAGCCUGUAACUAGCAGAAAAGGAGAUAGUUUGUGCAACAGCAACAAGGUGCGGGUCCAAACCCAUCUGUCAAGAUGCUUGUCCACUUGCUGUCCGCCCCACCAGCCCAACGAUUGUGCUGGAGAGCCUCUGACCACAAGUCAUAGUGGUAGAGAUAGAAGAAGUGCCCUUGACGAGGAAACCAUGGCAGCCAUAUAUACGGUAAGUCAAUACUUGGUGAAAGGAAAAUUUACUAGAAACAUUAAGUUAUAAAAAAUAACUGAUUUUUGUCUCACAGUCAAGAAGAGAUUUCCAAAUGUGUCCAAAGAGGCUUUGAGGAUUUGAACUGGGGAAGCUGAGACUUCUUGAAAGCAAAAAAGUUAUAUUUGUUUGAAUAUUGUAAUUUUUUGAACAUUGUAAAGUAUGUUCCUUGCUGAUUUUUUUAUUCAAAUGUUCAUGUGUUAUAGACAACAAAUAAAAGUUUUUCAAAUGUGACAUGUGAAUGUAUUUUUUUGGGUUGAAAUAUAUGUAGGGCAAAAUAUAUUUUGAAA